UCCUUCCUUCUCUCCUUCCUUCCGUCCUUCCUUCCUUCCGUCCUUCCUUUUUCUUUCCUUCUUUCCAAUCCUCUUUGUUCUCCUCUCCCUCAUUUGUGUCUCCUACAGGCCCGAGGGCAUAGAUAGUGUCCUCUCGCCCUAACAGAUGAGACAGACAAGUGAACAGAUUAAAUGCAGGGGCUCCCGGACAGGCUCGAGAGUCGGGGAUGUGGGGAGCAGGAGCUGUCCUGUGCUAGUGGCGGGGUGUUAACAGGUGCAACCCCUUUGGAACAGUUUGACUGCAUCCGCUAAAGCGGAGUACAUGCCUCCCCUCCGACCCAGCCAUUCCACUUCCUUCUUUGGGUAUGCACCCAACAGAAAUGUGUACAUUUGUGCCCCAAAAGACACGAAGUAGAAUGUUCUUAGCAGUAGUAUUCAUUCAUUGCCAAAAUACUAGAAACGACCCAAAUGCUCAUCCAUAGUAAAAUAGAGAAAUUGUGGUCUCUUCACACUGGGGAUAAUGAGAAUCAACCAUCUGUAACUACAUGUAAGGACAUAAUCUAGACAUACAGCGAGAGAAGCCAGGCAUAAGAGAAGACUUCUUAGAUGAUUGUGUUUGCAUAAAGCACAAAAACAGGCAAACUAACCGAUGGGGUAGAGGUCAGGGUGGGGACACCCUGGGCAGGAGGAGUGACUGGUGGAAGAGGAACUGAUGAUGCUGUUUACACAGACUUCAUUUUGGGACAAUCCAUUGAGCUGCACACUUAAGAUCUGCAUACUUUAUGCAUCAACUAGCUCAGCCAAUGAGAAAAUACCACAACUCAGCCAAUGAGAAAAUACCACAAUGCAGCCAAUGAGAAGCCAUCAACACCCUGACAGUCUUGCUUUCCUCCAGUAGACUGUCAUUCAAAGCGGCCCCUCCCAGCUUCCUCCUUUUUGUCUGUAAGGUUCCUCUCCUUUGUUUGCUGGACUUGCUUAUGGUUCAGCUGUAGCUUUCAUGUCCUGAAAUGCAAUUCCUCUGCCAUUCCCG
Molecule: long non-coding RNA, 1009 nt
Filed under: Equus asinus (donkey)
Lineage: Eukaryota; Metazoa; Chordata; Mammalia; Perissodactyla; Equidae
Description: lncRNA (ENSEASG00005033356.1)
Source: RNAcentral